This 2924-nucleotide ribosomal RNA is filed under the name Escherichia coli O139:H28 str. E24377A. RNAcentral's name for it is "bacterial LSU rRNA". It matches the Rfam family "Bacterial large subunit ribosomal RNA". The record is from RNAcentral. Lineage: Bacteria; Pseudomonadati; Pseudomonadota; Gammaproteobacteria; Enterobacterales; Enterobacteriaceae.
GAAACAUCUUCGGGUUGUGAGGUUAAGCGACUAAGCGUACACGGUGGAUGCCCUGGCAGUCAGAGGCGAUGAAGGACGUGCUAAUCUGCGAUAAGCGUCGGUAAGGUGAUAUGAACCGUUAUAACCGGCGAUUUCCGAAUGGGGAAACCCAGUGUGAUUCGUCACACUAUCAUUAACUGAAUCCAUAGGUUAAUGAGGCGAACCGGGGGAACUGAAACAUCUAAGUACCCCGAGGAAAAGAAAUCAACCGAGAUUCCCCCAGUAGCGGCGAGCGAACGGGGAGGAGCCCAGAGCCUGAAUCAGUGUGUGUGUUAGUGGAAGCGUCUGGAAAGGCGUGCGAUACAGGGUGACAGCCCCGUACACAAAAAUGCACAUGCUGUGAGCUCGAUGAGUAGGGCGGGACACGUGGUAUCCUGUCUGAAUAUGGGGGGACCAUCCUCCAAGGCUAAAUACUCCUGACUGACCGAUAGUGAACCAGUACCGUGAGGGAAAGGCGAAAAGAACCCCGGCGAGGGGAGUGAAAAAGAACCUGAAACCGUGUACGUACAAGCAGUGGGAGCACGCUUAGGCGUGUGACUGCGUACCUUUUGUAUAAUGGGUCAGCGACUUAUAUUCUGUAGCAAGGUUAACCGAAUAGGGGAGCCGAAGGGAAACCGAGUCUUAACUGGGCGUUAAGUUGCAGAGUAUAGACCCGAAACCCGGUGAUCUAGCCAUGGGCAGGUUGAAGGUUGGGUAACACUAACUGGAGGACCGAACCGACUAAUGUUGAAAAAUUAGCGGAUGACUUGUGGCUGGGGGUGAAAGGCCAAUCAAACCGGGAGAUAGCUGGUUCUCCCCGAAAGCUAUUUAGGUAGCGCCUCGUGAAUUCAUCUCCGGGGGUAGAGCACUGUUUCGGCAAGGGGGUCAUCCCGACUUACCAACCCGAUGCAAACUGCGAAUACCGGAGAAUGUUAUCACGGGAGACACACGGCGGGUGCUAACGUCCGUCGUGAAGAGGGAAACAACCCAGACCGCCAGCUAAGGUCCCAAAGUCAUGGUUAAGUGGGAAACGAUGUGGGAAGGCCCAGACAGCCAGGAUGUUGGCUUAGAAGCAGCCAUCAUUUAAAGAAAGCGUAAUAGCUCACUGGUCGAGUCGGCCUGCGCGGAAGAUGUAACGGGGCUAAACCAUGCACCGAAGCUGCGGCAGCGACGCUUAUGCGUUGUUGGGUAGGGGAGCGUUCUGUAAGCCUGUGAAGGUGUGCUGUGAGGCAUGCUGGAGGUAUCAGAAGUGCGAAUGCUGACAUAAGUAACGAUAAAGCGGGUGAAAAGCCCGCUCGCCGGAAGACCAAGGGUUCCUGUCCAACGUUAAUCGGGGCAGGGUGAGUCGACCCCUAAGGCGAGGCCGAAAGGCGUAGUCGAUGGGAAACAGGUUAAUAUUCCUGUACUUGGUGUUACUGCGAAGGGGGGACGGAGAAGGCUAUGUUGGCCGGGCGACGGUUGUCCCGGUUUAAGCGUGUAGGCUGGUUUUCCAGGCAAAUCCGGAAAAUCAAGGCUGAGGCGUGAUGACGAGGCACUACGGUGCUGAAGCAACAAAUGCCCUGCUUCCAGGAAAAGCCUCUAAGCAUCAGGUAACAUCAAAUCGUACCCCAAACCGACACAGGUGGUCAGGUAGAGAAUACCAAGGCGCUUGAGAGAACUCGGGUGAAGGAACUAGGCAAAAUGGUGCCGUAACUUCGGGAGAAGGCACGCUGAUAUGUAGGUGAAGCGACUUGCUCGUGGAGCUGAAAUCAGUCGAAGAUACCAGCUGGCUGCAACUGUUUAUUAAAAACACAGCACUGUGCAAACACGAAAGUGGACGUAUACGGUGUGACGCCUGCCCGGUGCCGGAAGGUUAAUUGAUGGGGUUAGCGCAAGCGAAGCUCUUGAUCGAAGCCCCGGUAAACGGCGGCCGUAACUAUAACGGUCCUAAGGUAGCGAAAUUCCUUGUCGGGUAAGUUCCGACCUGCACGAAUGGCGUAAUGAUGGCCAGGCUGUCUCCACCCGAGACUCAGUGAAAUUGAACUCGCUGUGAAGAUGCAGUGUACCCGCGGCAAGACGGAAAGACCCCGUGAACCUUUACUAUAGCUUGACACUGAACAUUGAGCCUUGAUGUGUAGGAUAGGUGGGAGGCUUUGAAGUGUGGACGCCAGUCUGCAUGGAGCCGACCUUGAAAUACCACCCUUUAAUGUUUGAUGUUCUAACGUUGACCCGUAAUCCGGGUUGCGGACAGUGUCUGGUGGGUAGUUUGACUGGGGCGGUCUCCUCCUAAAGAGUAACGGAGGAGCACGAAGGUUGGCUAAUCCUGGUCGGACAUCAGGAGGUUAGUGCAAUGGCAUAAGCCAGCUUGACUGCGAGCGUGACGGCGCGAGCAGGUGCGAAAGCAGGUCAUAGUGAUCCGGUGGUUCUGAAUGGAAGGGCCAUCGCUCAACGGAUAAAAGGUACUCCGGGGAUAACAGGCUGAUACCGCCCAAGAGUUCAUAUCGACGGCGGUGUUUGGCACCUCGAUGUCGGCUCAUCACAUCCUGGGGCUGAAGUAGGUCCCAAGGGUAUGGCUGUUCGCCAUUUAAAGUGGUACGCGAGCUGGGUUUAGAACGUCGUGAGACAGUUCGGUCCCUAUCUGCCGUGGGCGCUGGAGAAUUGAGGGGGGCUGCUCCUAGUACGAGAGGACCGGAGUGGACGCAUCACUGGUGUUCGGGUUGUCAUGCCAAUGGCACUGCCCGGUAGCUAAAUGCGGAAGAGAUAAGUGCUGAAAGCAUCUAAGCACGAAACUUGCCCCGAGAUGAGUUCUCCCUGACUCCUUGAGAGUCCUGAAGGAACGUUGAAGACGACGACGUUGAUAGGCCGGGUGUGUAAGCGCAGCGAUGCGUUGAGCUAACCGGUACUAAUGAACCGUGAGGCUUAACCUU